This 539-nucleotide ribosomal RNA is filed under the name Trigonopterus sp. 930 AR-2022a. Its description in RNAcentral is "partial large subunit ribosomal RNA". It matches the Rfam family "Bacterial large subunit ribosomal RNA", at positions 1825 to 2625 of the family's 2925-position model. Lineage: Eukaryota; Metazoa; Arthropoda; Insecta; Coleoptera; Curculionidae. The record is from RNAcentral.
GUCCUGUUGAUUAUAAUUUAAGGUCUGACCUGCCCACUGAGGAGUUAAAUGGCCGCGGUAUUUUGACCGUGCAAAGGUAGCAUAAUCAUUAGUUUUUUAAUUGGAAGCUUGAAUGAAAGGUUUGAUGAGGAAAAGGCUGUCUCUAUAAAAAUUUAUUAGAAUUUUAUUUUUAAGUAAAAAAGCUUAAAUUUGUUUAGAAGACGAGAAGACCCUAUAGAGUUUUAUAUGAAAUUGAAAAAUUAGGAUUUAAAGUAUAUGAAAAUUUUGGUUUCAAUUACAUAUUUUGUUGGGGUGAUAAAAAAAUUAAUUUAACUUUUUUUGUUUUAUGAACACUAAUUUGUGAAAAGUUGAUCCUUUAGUUAAGAUUAAAAGAUUAAAUUACCUUAGGGAUAACAGCGUAAUUUUUUUAAGAGUUCUUAUCGAAUGAAAAGAUUGCGACCUCGAUGUUGGAUUAAAAUAAAUUGUUGGUGUAGAAGCUAAUAUAUUAGGUCUGUUCGACCUUUAAAAUUUUACAUGAUCUGAGUUUAAACCGGUGUGAG